UACAGAGGUCCCAAGCGUUGUUCGGAUUCACUGGGCGUAAAGGGUGCGUAGGUGGCGAGGUAAGUCGGAUGUGAAAGCUCGGAGCUCAACUCCGAAAUGGCAUUGGAAACUACCUUGCUCGAGGGUCGGAGGGGGGACUGGAAUGCUUGGUGUAGCAGUGAAAUGCGUAGAUAUCAAGCGGAACAUCAGUGGCGAAGGCGAGUCCCUGGACAACUCCUGACACUGAGGCACGAAAGCUAGGGGAGCAAACAGG
Molecule: ribosomal RNA, 253 nt
Filed under: uncultured bacterium
Lineage: Bacteria
Description: partial 16S ribosomal RNA
Rfam family: Bacterial small subunit ribosomal RNA
Source: RNAcentral